Amphiprion ocellaris (clown anemonefish) is the source of this 3341-nucleotide long non-coding RNA. NCBI's taxonomy places the organism in Eukaryota, Metazoa, Chordata, Actinopteri, Pomacentridae. The record is from Ensembl.
UUUUUUUUUUAGAUCAAGCAACCUCAUAAGCAAAUCGAACCUCAGCGGCUCAUAAUGGAACUGUAAGGCAGCGGCCGUCGGUCAUUUAGUCGGUCAAAAAGACGGAAAUAUUGAACAACCACAACUGCUCCGACCUGCUGGCUGCUGCCGUCAACUGGCACUAACAACUUCCAAAACUACUACUACUACUUCCACUAUUAGUACUACUACCAUCGCGACACAAUCAGAGAGAGAGAGAGAGAGUCAGUUUCUUUCAGUUUGCCUUCAAGUCAUCACUUAUAAAAUGAUAUCCGAAGCUACGAUAUGAAACUAAUGGAGGUUUAAAGCUCGAGAGGCGUACAGCAGAAAAGUCUCCUUGUAGCAGUAAAUUUAUCAGCUUCUCUAAUAUCAUGUGGUCCAAAUUGACCCUUAAAAUUUUCAAAAUAAAAGCCAAGGGUGUUCAAAUUUCUUCAUGGCUUUCAGAUUUCUUUCUUUCUGUUUUAGCAGCUAAUACCUUGUGCUAAACAGGGAACUGGAAAAGUUAUGGACAAACUGAAAAUCUGGCUUUUUUUUGUUACCGAAUAUUAGUACACUUGUGCAGUUGUAGUACCUCGCAAAGCACUCGGUGCUAGAUUGUCUGUCGGGACUAUUUGAAGCUAACAGCUUGCAAGCUAACAGCUAAUGUACUAGCUAGUAAGGAGCAUUUGGUGCCUUCAAAUGGAACCCGUGAUCUUGUGACACAAAAUGUUUUUAUUUUUAAACCAAAUACUUUAUGUUCCAGUGGUAAAAUCGGACUGAGGCUAACCAUUUAGCAAGCUAACAAGCAGAUGACGUAAAUAGAGAUGCACAGGCUUAAUAAAAAAUAAAACUGUUAGAAAUAUCAAAAUUUCCUCGCUCUUUAUGACUCUAAUUACAAUAUGUUAACUUAAAAGCCACUAAAAAUAAACUUUCAUGGCCUCCACUGUUUCUAAAAAUGCCUGCAAAUGCGGCACAACCGGAAGCUUUUGGAAAAUUUUCACUUGAGUUGUGAUAAGAGUGAAGCAUUUAUAUGGACUAGCUGUGUGAACGCGACGCCAUUUGCAGGCAGCAAGAGUCGCAAAAGCUUUCUGAACUAGCUAGCUAGCUAGUUGGCUCCUAUUCAUUACCUUGCGAUAAAAGUGAAAAAACAACACCUGUUUCAUAUUUUUCUAAAUAUUACGUUGGUGGUGAAGCUGUACACUGAAUACACUCAGAAAAUCUACUUUGUCUAGACAGUUUGUUGCUGCUCAGAAGCAUGAAUUAGCAUUUAAUUUUUCAAAAUGUAGGCGGGAAAUGCUCAUAUUUGUCAAGAUUUAACAGAAUUUUUCAAAACUUGUUCAGAUUUACUCGAAGUAUUGUGCGAAAAUUCGAUUUUACACGCCACCAUGGUGAACACAGCCCCAUUGAAAUUACAAAAGCGUUCUGAGCUAGCUUGUUAGCUGGCUAAUUUGCUGCCAUUCGUUAGCUUGUUUAAAAUGGGAUACAAGUUAAAGCGAGAAUUUUGUUUCAUAUUUGUACAAACGUUACGUUGAUAGUGAAACUACAUAGCCAACUCUAAAUCAGCGGCCUUGAAUUAGCAUGAGCAUUUUCAUUAAUUUAGGCGGGAAACACUCGUGUUUGUCAAGAUGUAACAGAAUUUAUGAAAAUUUGUGCUGAUUUGCACAAACGAUUUUGUGGAAAUUAGAUUUUAGUCUGUCGCACGGUGAGCACAACCCCAUUUGAAGGCAGUGAGAGUCGUGAAAUUGUUCCGAGCUAGCUAACUAGCUAGCUAGUUUGGUAUUCGUUACAUGUGAUUCAUACCUACAUAAACAUGGUGACGCUAACACAGUAUCGGUGGCCUUGAGUUAGCAUUAGCAUUUUCAUUAAGUUAGGUGGGAACAGCUCAUGUUUGACAAAAUUCAUGUGGAUUUGUGCACAGAUCUUACGACUUUACACUCCUGUCCGCCCAUUUGCUGAAAGCAGGAAAAUUGGCAACACUUAAUCAGGCAGAUCUUCAGUAAAGUUAGUGCUAGCGCUACAGAACCACAACAUUAGUGGCGUUUCCCUUAAAUGACGCAGAAUGAAGUUAAAGUGUGUGAGUUUUUUUAGCUGUAGCUGUUGCAGGUCUGUAAAGAAGCCGCCGCCCCUCUCUCUCAGCUGUUUACGGUUUUGUCGGCUCUGUUAACCCUCUCCCUGGGAAUCCGUAUGACUGUGUGUUUGUUGUGUGCGCGGCCAUAUGAAUACUGGACUUCCAUUCGAAUGCACGUGGACUGUUUUUAAAUGUAUUUAUUUGGAGCCCAGCUGUGUGUGUGUUUGUGCGUUUGUUUAGUUUCUACAAUGACUUGAGAAGAAGCCAUGUAUUAAAAAUAUCACAUUUAUGCUGCAGAACUGUUUUGAGGAACUGAUGGUUUGUGUUGUGGACUACCCGGCUUGCCGUAGGCGCGGCGGCUCGGACUUAGCAAUAAGAAUCCCUCUGAAUCCAAAAAGCUUUAUGUAGAUCUCCUGUAUAUGAGUUGAACAGACUGUCCGGGUCUAUUGGUUCUGUUGUUGUUUAUUUUUAGUUUGGCUGAGAAAUGUUUGGGUUUUUUUGUCGUGUUUAUUAUUUUUUCCUCUAUGACAUAUAAAUGUGUAUAAAACUGUGAAAAUCCAUUGUGUUCAGUUAAAGGGUGAGUUUUAGGUUAGGUUUUUUUUUGCAUGUUAAUCUAAUUUGUUCAAUUAAGGAUGAUUUCUCCUUUUCUCCAUCACUUCUCGUGCUACAUAUAUAUAUAAAUAUAAAAGUAUAUAUAAUCUCGCUCUCAGGGUCUUUCACAAAUCCAUUAUUCGAAAUAUUUCAUGUUCUUAUUUCCUGAGUUGCAACUUGUCCUGAUUACUUUGUCUCUUUUUUUUUUUUUUUUUUUUAAUAAUUCAGAACUGUCAAUCACUACAUUUAGCACUUGACUGUGAACUCGUCGUCACCUAACAGGUUGGAUUUUGGUGUUUAAAAACCGGAGCACCGUCGACGUGUUUUGGUUCUCUUCCCGUCGUUCGGACGUUCGGUUUGAGGCCUUUUUUUUCUGCGGAAACACAAACGUUCAUGCUAAACCUCAAUCAGAAAGCAUUAAAGCCACAAUCAGCAGGACGUCCUGAGGUUGUGUCCGGCGUCGGCCCUCUCCUGCCCCCUGCUGUUAGCAACACGUGACGGUGUCUCACCAAGUCAAGAGAUGUAAACCUGUUCUGUAUUCAACCCAAUAAGAAAAAGCAAUAAAGAUUAUAUUAAGGAAAGGUGUGUGAAUCAAACGACAUCCACGUUUUUGUCUUUUUUUCCUCUCUUCUGGAGCAUUUUAGCGCAGUUCACAGGUCAGAAAUGUAGUUUUGAGCCAAAAAAU